AGAAAUACUAAAUUACAAAAGAAAGAAUGAAAGAAAAAGCUUCAACCAUAGGAAAUCCUUAUUUGACUUCCUAUCUGAGAUAUGCAAUGAACCGUAUCAUUGCCAAUACCAUUGAUUUCAAAGCCUUUCUCAUGCAUGGCUAUGUCAGAGUUCCCUAAGAAUCUCAAAGGACCCGAGGCAGUGCUUAAACCCAAGUUGUGUGACCAAAUAAAGAUGAGUGCAGUGUGGAAGGGCCAGCCUUUAUGUGUCCAAGUUCAGAGGAAGCUCAUGGGUCCCAAAUAAGGGCUCACACAAGAGGGGCAGAAGCUAAGUCUAAGAGUAGAGCGGAAGUGCAUGAGGUGAAAGUUGUGUAAAACAUUAUUAAGAAAAUUAAGGGAUAAAGGUGACUUGAAAACAAUAGCUAAAAUUAUGUAGUAUCAGCAAGUGCACGAAGGGGAAAGGGUGUGGGAAUAUAUUGGAGAUGGCAUGUGACCCUUAGAAAGGUCAAGUAUGGACAUGCACAACAAUAAGUAAAGCUAGCAUGCCCAUAAAACAACCAAACCAUAUAGCAUAUAGAGGUUAUGAUCCCAAUGAAUCAUGUUUGGGUCAUGCACAACAAUAUUCAAUGUUGUCAUGACCCAAACCAACCAAAGAUACAAAAUACAUAGGAGAUGUGGGAUUUAGGAUUCAUAAGUGACUAGUAGAGUAUAUACAUAAAGGAAAUAUAAAUUCAGAAGAAAGAAAGGGCAGAUUACAUCAUUCUUAAUAAUGGAGCUUGGUUAAAUACAAACAUGAGACAAACAAGGAUGCAAGAAACAAUAAAGAAGCAUGUUGUUGUUGAUGCAGAAGUUAAAUUAGGAACAUACCAGUAAAGAUGAAAAUGCAGAGAAAAAUAAGCAAAUUUCCCAAAGCCUAGCCUUGGCUUUUAGCCGGCUCAGUAGAUGUAGCAACAGAGAAAAGAAAGAGAUUUUAGUGGAGUGUCUGUCUAAACUCAAGUAUUUUAUGUCUUGUGUUUGUGUGUUUGAAAGAAGAGAAGUACAUGGUAUUAUAGCUUUUUGAAAACGAGUGAAAGAGAAGUAAUAAGCCACAAAUAUAGAAAUAAUCACUAUUCAGAAUCAAUUACACACAUGAUUGCCUUUAAUUAAGGUAUCACUUUCUUAACAGGCAGUGACAGAUUCAAAAUAAGGAAAAGAAAUCAAUUUAUAGGCAGACUGAUUACUGUCAUAAAAGAAGUUGUAAAACCACCGAGUAAGUGAUUAAGUCUAAGUACAGGAAUAUACUUGUUUAGGAAAGGAUUAAGUAAGUCAAAACAAGAAAAGAAAUCAAUUAACCUUAACAGGCAAGUGAAAUCAGAUUUUCACAAAAGAAAUGUUUAAAAUCAUUCACAAAUUUGAAGAUUAAUCAAAUAGGGAAACUUAGCAUAUAAAUAGAGUUCACAAACACUAGACAUGUGAGGCCAAACUAUUGGCAAAAGGAAACAACAUGUGAUAAUAGCACAAAGUUAGUAAACAAUAAAUAUUCGAAACAUGAUAGUCACGUAGGUCGAGCUUCAAUGACUUAGUAGUGAAGAAAUAGAUAGAGUAUCAGAAGCAUGUAAAGGGUCAAGUGAAAACCCCUUCUAAAGACAUAGUCAAGUUUCAAAAAUAGUAAAAACCCAGAAUCACAUAAAGAAAAGAGAUGCUGAAACAAAGGAAUUUCGAAUCAAGUCGAGAAACUUCAAAGAGAUGAAUUGCACAAGCAGUUUCAGAAACUCGAAUAGACCCCCAAAGUAAUUAGGGUUUUGAAACAAAUCGAGGUUAAAGAUGAUGAGAAAACAAAUUACACAAAUACUUAGAGACUCGAAUGAACCGAAAAGAAAUUAGGAUUUUUCAACACCAAUCGAGUCUAGAGAUGAUAAACAAGUAAAUCAACAAACAAAUAGUCCCAGAAACUCAAAUAAACCAAAAAUUUAGGGUUUUCAACACCAAUCGAGCAUAGAGAUGAUAAACAAGUAAAUUAAACAAAUACUAACUAUGGACCCAGAAACCUUAGAAGAUAUUAGGGUUUUUAUCAUGCAAACUCAUAGAGGAUAACAAGACGAGCAAACGUAGCAAAACAUGUCAAAAAUCAGAGAAAGUUUUGAAAUAAGUUAACAAGAAAACCCUAAUCGGAAAAGAUAAAGAGUUUUGGAAGCAGAGUUUUAAUAGAAAUUUCGAGAAAAAUGCUUAGAAAUUCAAAGCAAACAUAGAUCUGAAGCAAAUCUAAAAGAAAUGGAAAGAACCUUAGAGAUUAGGAUUUCAGAAGAACCCCAAGUGAUGAGAAAGGCCUUAAAAGCCAUUGAUCUAUGCAGGAGAGUCAAAGGUCUGACACGAAUGGCCAUGGUUGGCCGAAAAAAACAUCAGAGACUAUUGGAGAACAGUCAUAGAGCAAAGUUUGGACCAAGCCCCUUUAUGAUCUAGUCGUGAGACCACUGAAACAAAUACGUAAAAGCCAUGGGAGGCUGAUACAGGUCUCCGACGACCUUGGAAGGCCAUGGAUUAGGGCAGAUUAGGGUGGCGACAGCUAGGGUUUGAGGGUGCUGUUGAGAGGAUUUGAGAGAGGAGGGGGAUUCAGA
This 2572-nucleotide long non-coding RNA is filed under the name Nicotiana benthamiana. RNAcentral's name for it is "long non-coding RNA (NBEN_LNC031779)". The record is from RNAcentral. Lineage: Eukaryota; Viridiplantae; Streptophyta; Magnoliopsida; Solanales; Solanaceae.